RNAcentral lists this long non-coding RNA (609 nucleotides) under Homo sapiens (human). Its description in RNAcentral is "HSALNT0250028". Lineage: Eukaryota; Metazoa; Chordata; Mammalia; Primates; Hominidae. The record is from RNAcentral.
UGAAAAGAGAGAUGGGAGGAGAGGAUGGAGCAUGGGAUCCAGGCACUGCUCUGUAGCUGGGGCUCUGAGCUCUACUCUCCAUACCCUCCUUCAGAGGAGACAGGUGGGGACCGAAGCCAUUUCCCCAUCUCCCACAGGGGGACACAGACUGACAGGCAGUCAAUGACCCUUGUUUCUGGGGCCUUGUCUUCUCUCCUCCAGGCAUCUGAACCUUGCAGCUUCCCUGCCCCUCACUUGGCAGCCCUCCUGUCUCAGCAGUGGAGAGAGGUGGGGGCCCUGGGAAAGAGUUGCCCGUUCCUAGACCAGACUGCAGAGCUGAGGGCAGGGGAAGGGAAGGAGGUGGGAUAGUGAAGAUUGAGAAGGUCUGUCCCAGGCCAGGACUGGGUGAAGGCAUGCAGCUGGUGUGCAGCUGUCUGGGCUCUCCUCUCCAGAGGCCUGCCGCCCCUCUCCAAGUCCUGCGUGGUGUUCUUCCUCCUUCGGAAUGCUUUUCCCUCCCACCCUGGCAUUCAGGGUCUGGACACCUCUCUCCAGCUCGUAUCUAAGUGUAGGACAGGCAGCAUGCCAGGAAACGCCCCAGGGGAGGGCCCCUACUCUUCUUUCUACAUCCUU